GACGAACUGCCCAAACGUUGUUCGGAAUCACUGGGCUUAAAGGGCGCGUAGGCGGCGAAUCAAGUCAGGGGUGAAAUCCGGCAGCUUAACUGUCGAAGUGCCUUUGAUACUGGUUUGCUCGAGGGAGAUAGGGGUCUGUGGAACUUCUGGUGGAGCGGUGAAAUGCGUUGAUAUCAGAAGGAACGCCGGUGGCGAAGGCGAGGUGCUGGACCCCUUCUGACGCUGAGGCGCGAAAGCCAGGGGAGCGAACGGG
This 253-nucleotide ribosomal RNA is filed under the name uncultured bacterium. Its description in RNAcentral is "partial 16S ribosomal RNA". It matches the Rfam family "Bacterial small subunit ribosomal RNA", at positions 524 to 776 of the family's 1533-position model. The record is from RNAcentral.